RNAcentral lists this ribosomal RNA (505 nucleotides) under uncultured bacterium. Its description in RNAcentral is "bacterial SSU rRNA". It matches the Rfam family "Bacterial small subunit ribosomal RNA", at positions 26 to 518 of the family's 1533-position model. The record is from RNAcentral.
AGGACGAACGCUGGCGGCGCGCUUAACACAUGCAAGUCGAGCGAGAACCAGGACUUCGGUCCUGGGGACAGCGGCGAACGGGUGAGUAACACGUGGAUAACCUGCCCUCGGCACCGGGAUAGCCCGGGGAAACCCGGAUUAAUACCGGAUGGCCCUUCCGGCUCACGAGCCGGUCGGAAAAGGUAGCUUCGGCCUCCGGCCGAGGAUGGGUCCGCGGCGGAUUAGCUUGUUGGUGGGGUAACGGCCUACCAAGGCUCCGAUCCGUAGCUGGUCUGAGAGGACGAUCAGCCACACUGGGACUGAGACACGGCCCAGACUCCUACGGGAGGCAGCAGUGGGGAAUCUUGCGCAAUGGGCGAAAGCCUGACGCAGCGACGCCGCGUGAGGGAGGAAGGCCUUCGGGUUGUAAACCUCUUUCAGGAGGGACGAAGCUACUCGGGUGAAUAGCCCAGGGGGUGACGGUACCUCCAGAAGAAGCCCCGGCUAACUACGUGCCAGCAGCUGC